This 253-nucleotide ribosomal RNA is filed under the name uncultured bacterium. RNAcentral describes it as "partial 16S ribosomal RNA". It matches the Rfam family "Bacterial small subunit ribosomal RNA", at positions 524 to 776 of the family's 1533-position model. The record is from RNAcentral.
UACGUAGGUGGCGAGCGUUGUCCGGAAUUACUGGGUGUAAAGCGCGCGUAGGCGGUAGGCCAAGUCUGCUGUGAAAUCGCCCGGCUCAACUGGGCGCGGUCGGUGGAAACUGGUCAACUGGAGGACGGUAGAGGCGAGUGGAAUUCCCGGUGUAGUGGUGAAAUGCGUAGAGAUCGGGAGGAACACCAGUGGCGAAGGCGGCUCGCUGGGCCGGACCUGACGCUGAGGCGCGAAGGCGUGGGGAGCAAACGGG